UUCAUCAGGUGAUGAAAUCUGGAAAUAAAUCUUAGGACACCUUCCUACACAGCUAGAAAGCUCUAGCUGUGGAUGAGAAAGACAUUUCUACUCUGAUGAUGAA
RNAcentral lists this small nucleolar RNA (103 nucleotides) under Nelumbo nucifera (sacred lotus). Its description in RNAcentral is "Small nucleolar RNA snoR31/Z110/Z27". It matches the Rfam family "Small nucleolar RNA snoR31/Z110/Z27". Rfam says of the family: This family contains several related snoRNAs including R31, Z27 and Z110. Family members belong to the C/D class of snoRNAs which contain the C (UGAUGA) and D (CUGA) box motifs. Most of the members of the box C/D family function in directing site-specific 2'-O-methylation of substrate RNAs. Lineage: Eukaryota; Viridiplantae; Streptophyta; Magnoliopsida; Proteales; Nelumbonaceae. The record is from Rfam by way of RNAcentral.